RNAcentral lists this ribosomal RNA (390 nucleotides) under uncultured bacterium. RNAcentral describes it as "bacterial SSU rRNA". It matches the Rfam family "Bacterial small subunit ribosomal RNA", at positions 29 to 419 of the family's 1533-position model. The record is from RNAcentral.
AUUGAACGCUGGCGGCGUGCUUAACACAUGCAAGUCGUGCGGUAACAGGCGUAGCAAUACGUGCUGACGAGCGGCGAACGGGUGCGUAAUACAUGGGAAUCUGCCCUUUAGUGGGGAAUAACCCGGCGAAAGCCGGGCUAAUGCCGCAUAAGAUCUUCGGAUGAAAGCGGGGGAUCGUAAGACCUCGCGCUGAUGGAUGAGCCCAUGUCGGAUUAGCUAGNGGUGAGGUAACGGCUCACCAAGGCGACGAUCCGUAGCUGGUCUGAGAGGACGGCCAGCCACACUGGGACUGAGACACGGCCCAGACUCCUACGGGAGGCAGCAGUGGGGAAUAUUGGACAAUGGGCGAAAGCCUGAUCCAGCGACGCCGCGUGUGUGAAGAAGGCCUGC